This is a non-coding RNA of Phrynosoma platyrhinos (Desert horned lizard), 72 nucleotides long. The record is from the annotation of a GenBank genome assembly. NCBI's taxonomy places the organism in Eukaryota, Metazoa, Chordata, Lepidosauria, Squamata, Phrynosomatidae.
GCCAGUGUGGCCUAGUGGUUUGAGCUACUGACUACAACUCUAGAGACCAGAGUUCAAUUCCUGGCUCGGCCA